RNAcentral lists this ribosomal RNA (510 nucleotides) under uncultured bacterium. Its description in RNAcentral is "partial 16S ribosomal RNA". It matches the Rfam family "Bacterial small subunit ribosomal RNA", at positions 28 to 507 of the family's 1533-position model. The record is from RNAcentral.
GACGAACGCUGGCGGCGUGCUUAACACAUGCAAGUCGAACGAAGAGCGAUGGAAGCUUGCUUCUAUCAAUCUUAGUGGCGAACGGGUGAGUAACGCGUAAUCAACCUGCCCUUCAGAGGGGGACAACAGUUGGAAACGACUGCUAAUACCGCAUACGAUCUAAUCUCGGCAUCGAGGAUAGAUGAAAGGUGGCCUCUACAUGUAAGCUAUCACUGAAGGAGGGGAUUGCGUCUGAUUAGCUAGUUGGAGGGGUAACGGCCCACCAAGGCGAUGAUCAGUAGCCGGUCUGAGAGGAUGAACGGCCACAUUGGGACUGGGACACGGCCCAGACUCCUACGGGAGGCAGCAGUGGGGAAUCUUCCGCAAUGGACGAAAGGCUGACGGAGCAACGCCGCGGGAGGGAUGACGGCCGUCGGGUUGUAAAGCUCUGUUAAUCGGGACGAAAGGCCUUCUUGCGAAUAGGGAGAAGGAUUGACGGUACCGGAAUAGAAAGCCACGGCUAACUACGUG